GACGAACGCUGGCGGCGUGCUUAACACAUGCAAGUCGAACGGAAAGGCCCUGCUUGCCGUGUACUCGAGUGGCGAACGGGUGAGUAACACGUGGGUGAUCUGCCCUGCACUUCGGGAUAAGCCUGGGAAACUGGGUCUAAUACCGGAUAGGAGCCAUUUUUAGUGUGAUGGUUGGAAAGUUUUUUCGGUGUAGGAUGAGCUCGCGGCCUAUCAGCUUGUUGGUGGGGUAAUGGCCUACCAAGGCGGCGACGGGUAGCCGGCCUGAGAGGGUGGACGGCCACAUUGGGACUGAGAUACGGCCCAGACUCCUACGGGAGGCAGCAGUGGGGAAUAUUGCACAAUGGGCGAAAGCCUGAUGCAGCGACGCCGCGUGGGGGAUGACGGCCUUAGGGUUGGAAACUCCUUUCGCUAGGGACGAAGCUUUUUGUGACGGUACCUAGAGAAGAAGCACCGGCUAACUACGUG
This 465-nucleotide ribosomal RNA is filed under the name uncultured bacterium. Its description in RNAcentral is "partial 16S ribosomal RNA". It matches the Rfam family "Bacterial small subunit ribosomal RNA", at positions 28 to 507 of the family's 1533-position model. The record is from RNAcentral.